UACGUAGGGGGCUAGCGUUGUCCGGAUUUAUUGGGCGUAAAGAGCGUGUAGGCGGCCAGGUAGGUCUGCUGUGAAAACUCGAGGCUUAACCUCGAGAUGUCGGCGGAAACCAUCUGGCUUGAGUCCGGAAGAGGAGAGUGGAAUUCCUGGUGUAGCGGUGAAAUGCGUAGAUAUCUGGAGGAGCACCAGUGGCGAAAGCGCGUGACUGGGCCAUAACUGACGCUGAGGAACGAAAGCCAGGGUAGCGAAAGGG
This 253-nucleotide ribosomal RNA is filed under the name uncultured bacterium. RNAcentral describes it as "partial 16S ribosomal RNA". It matches the Rfam family "Bacterial small subunit ribosomal RNA", at positions 524 to 776 of the family's 1533-position model. The record is from RNAcentral.